Molecule: ribosomal RNA, 387 nt
Filed under: uncultured Sphingobacteriales bacterium
Lineage: Bacteria; Pseudomonadati; Bacteroidota; Sphingobacteriia; Sphingobacteriales
Description: bacterial SSU rRNA
Rfam family: Bacterial small subunit ribosomal RNA
Source: RNAcentral
CAUUUUUUAGAGAUAGAAAUUCCCUUCGGGGCUUUCUGCAAGGUGCUGCAUGGUUGUCGUCAGCUCGUGCCGUGAGGUGUCGGGUUAAGUCCCAUAACGAGCGCAACCCUUAUCGUUAGUUGCCAUCUGGUAAUGCAGGGGACUCUAGCGAAACUGCCACCGUAAGGUGAGAGGAAGGUGGGGAUGACGUCAAAUCAGCACGGCCCUUAUGUCCAGGGCUACACACGUGUUACAAUGGUCGGUACAGAGGGCAGCUACCUGGUGACAGGAUGCUAAUCUCGAAAACCGGUCUCAGUUCGGAUCGAAGUCUGCAACUCGACUUCGUGAAGCUGGAUUCGCUAGUAAUCGCGCAUCAGCUAUGGCGCGGUGAAUACGUUCCCGGGCCUU